AGGAGUGGAGCCUGCGGCUUAAUUUGACUCAACACGGGAAACCUCACCAGGCCCGGACACCGGAAGGAUUGACAGAUUGAGAGCUCUUUCUUGAUUCGGUGGGUGGUGGUGCAUGGCCGUUCUUAGUUGGUGGAGCGAUUUGUCUGGUUAAUUCCGAUAACGAACGAGACUCUAGCCUGCUAAAUAGGCGUCUUUUCGACAUCCUAAAGUCCCGACGGCCUGGCAGGCGGCCCGGUCGUUCGUGGUUCUUACUGUCGGCGUACACAUUAUUCUUCUUAGAGGGACAGGCGGCUUCUAGCCGCACGAGACUGAGCAAUAACAGGUCUGUGAUGCCCUUAGAUGUUCUGGGCCG
RNAcentral lists this ribosomal RNA (352 nucleotides) under Verres sp. SIK-2015. RNAcentral describes it as "SSU rRNA". It matches the Rfam family "Eukaryotic small subunit ribosomal RNA", at positions 1172 to 1489 of the family's 1831-position model. The record is from RNAcentral. Lineage: Eukaryota; Metazoa; Arthropoda; Insecta; Coleoptera; Passalidae.